This 240-nucleotide unclassified non-coding RNA is filed under the name fungal sp. Its description in RNAcentral is "partial internal transcribed spacer region". The stretch from base 1 to 46 matches the Rfam family "Eukaryotic small subunit ribosomal RNA", at positions 1786 to 1831 of the family's 1831-position model. The record is from RNAcentral. Lineage: Eukaryota; Fungi.
AAGUCGUAACAAGGUCUCCGUUGGUGAACCAGCGGAGGGAUCAUUACUGGUGGUCUUUUUACGACCCCGAUACCUGUGAACCUAUUUCACACUUUUUUUUUUUUGCUUUGGCGGAAUUGCCCCGCGAGGGGAGCGCGCCUUUCCGCCAGAGCGCCGUUUUACAACGUCAUCACGUAUCUUCUGAGUUUCAAGUCUCUGAAACGAGAGUUACAACUUUCAACGAUGGAUCUCUCGGCUCCG